AUUGGGUGUAAAGGGCUCGUAGGUGGCUUUGUAAGUCAGGUGUGAAAGCCCACGGCUCAACCGUGGAAUUGCACUUGAUACUGCAUUGCUUGAGUUCGGGAGAGGGUAGUGGAAUUCCAGGUGUAGGAGUGAAAUCCGUAGAGAUCUGGAGGAACACCAGUGGCGAAGGCGACUACCUGGACCGAUACUGACACUGAGGAGCGAAAGCGUGGGGAGCAAACAGGAUUAGAUACCCUGGUAGUCCACGCUGUAAACGAUGGAUACUAGGUGGCGGGGGCGUGGCCUUCGGUGCCGUAGCGAACGCGUUAAGUAUCCCGCCUGGGGAGUACGGUCGCAAGGCUGAAACUCAAAUGAAUUGACGG
RNAcentral lists this ribosomal RNA (362 nucleotides) under Desulfovibrio sp. Its description in RNAcentral is "bacterial SSU rRNA". It matches the Rfam family "Bacterial small subunit ribosomal RNA", at positions 553 to 916 of the family's 1533-position model. Lineage: Bacteria; Pseudomonadati; Thermodesulfobacteriota; Desulfovibrionia; Desulfovibrionales; Desulfovibrionaceae. The record is from RNAcentral.